Molecule: ribosomal RNA, 482 nt
Filed under: uncultured bacterium
Lineage: Bacteria
Description: partial 16S ribosomal RNA
Rfam family: Bacterial small subunit ribosomal RNA
Source: RNAcentral
AUUGAACGCUGGCGGCAUGCCUUACACAUGCAAGUCGAACGGUAACAGGUCUUCGGAUGCUGACGAGUGGCGAACGGGUGCGUAAUACAUCGGAACGUGCCCAGACGUGGGGGAUAACGAGGCGAAAGCUUUGCUAAUACCGCAUACGAUCUAAGGAUGAAAGCAGGGGACCGCAAGGCCUUGCGCGUUUGGAGCGGCCGAUGGCAGAUUAGGUAGUUGGUGGGAUAAAAGCUUACCAAGCCGACGAUCUGUAGCUGGUCUGAGAGGACGACCAGCCACACUGGGACUGAGACACGGCCCAGACUCCUACGGGAGGCAGCAGUGGGGAAUUUUGGACAAAGGGCGAAAGCCUGAUCCAGCAAUGCCGCGUGCAGGAUGAAGGCCUUCGGGUUGUAAACUGCUUUUGUACGGAACGAAAAGGCUCUGGCUAAUACCUGGGGCACAUGACGGUACCGUAAGAAUAAGCACCGGCUAACUACGUG